AUAGGAAAUUAAGAGUAUAUGGUGGAUGCCUAGACUAAAAAAGGCGAUGAAAGACGUAGCAUGGCAGCGAUAUUUUUCGGGGAGGUGCCUAGCAACCUGUGAUCCGGAAGUUUCUGAAUGGGGAAACCCAAUUACGUAAACCGUAAUUAUCUUGAUACUUGAUAUCAAGAUGCAUACCCAGGGAAGUAAAACAUUUCAUUACCUGGAGGAAAAGAGAAAAAUAUUUAUUUUCUGAGUAGCGGCGAGCGAAAAGGAAAAAGCCCAAACCGGCAUAUCACACAGAGUACGAUUUUAUAAAUCGCAAGUUGUGUGAUUUGCCGGGGUUGUAAGGUGACAAUGUAGAUUUAUCUAGAGGAGUUACAAAAUGUGUUGUUAGAUUAAACUUCUGGAAAGAAGUGCCGUAGACGGUGAUAGCCCGGUGAUCGAAAAUAACAUGUCUCUUUGAUUGUCAUUCUUGAGUAGCUCAAGACACGAAUAGCUUGAGCGAAUCCGCCAGAACUAACUGGCAAGGCUAAAUACUUUUUUAGAUCGAUAGUGAACUAGUACCGUGAGGGAAAGGUGAAAAGAACCCCGAUAAGGGGAGUGAAAUAGACCUGAAACCGUAUGCUUACAAGGAGUCGGAGCGGACACGAUUUAUCGUGAUCCGUCACGGCGUGCCUAUUGAAGAAUGAGCCAACGAGUUUAUGCAUGCUGCAAGGCUAAGUUGUUUUGCAACGCAGUCGUAGGGAAACCGAGUGUUAAUAGCGCGACUAAGUAGUAUGCAUAAGACCCGAAGCCAGGUGAGCUACCCAUGUGCAGGAUGAAGUUCGCAGAAAUGCGGAUGGAGGUCCGAACCGGUGAGCCGUUCAACACUCUCGGAUGACAUGUGGGUUGGAGUGAAAAGCUAAUCGAACCUGGUAAUAGCUGGUUGUCUCCGAAAUAGCUUUAGGGUUAGCGUCAUGUGUUCCCUCUGGGGGUAGAGCACUGGAAGAUUUCGACAGGGCGCAAGCUCGCGAAAUCUAUCAAACUCCGAAUACCAGAGGUCAGAGCAUGGCAGUUAGACAGUGGGGGCUAAGCUCCACGCGUCAAAAGGGAAACAGCCCAGAUCUCUAAAUAAGGUCCCUAAAUCUACGUUAAGUGCAAACUAAGGAUGUGAAAUUUCUCUGACAAUGAGGAUGUUGGCUUAGAAGCAGCCAUCAUUUAAAGAAAGCGUAACAGCUCACUCAUCGAGAGAUUCUGCGCCGCAGAUAAUCGGGGCUAAACGUAGUACCGAAUUUGAGGAUUUAUAGUUUUUUCGAAAAUUGUAAGUGGUAGGAGACUAUUCCAUUCCGGCUGAGAAGGAGAAGGCGUGAGCCACUCUGGAGCGUAUGGAAGUAAAAAUGUUGGCACAAGUAACCGCAAGGAAGGUGAGAUCCCUUCCCGCCGAAAGACUAAGGUUUCCUUUGCUAUGAUAAUCAGCGAAGGGUUAGUCGGGCCUAAGGAGAUGGCGAAAGCCGCAUCCGAUGGACACAUGGUUAAUAUUCCAUGACUUCUAAUCUGUGCGAUGGGAGGACGGAGUGUAGUAUGUAUAGCUCAUUAUUGGAUUUGAGUUUGUGCUGUGAGUGUUGUGCGUAGGAAAAUCCGCGUACUGCCUUAGAUGGCAUAAUGCAAGCAGAGCAGAAAUGUGUGGGUUCGCCCAUGCAGAUUGUACAAAGCACGCUUCCGAGAAAAUUCCCUAAGCUUAACAGAUGAGAAACCGUACCGUAAACCGACACAGGUAGUCAGGUCGAGUAGACCAAGGCGAACGAGUGAGAGGUCCUCAAGGAACUCGGCAAAAAAGCGACCGUACGUUAGCAAUAAGGUCCGCCUUUCGCGAGAAAGGCUGCAACAAAAGAUUCCCAGGCAACUGUUUACCAAAAACACAGCUCCCUGCAAACUCGUAAGAGGAAGUAUAGGGGGUGAUGCCUGACCAAUGCCGGAAGGUCAACCAUGAUCGUUGCGUGCCGCAAGGUACGUGGUGAAUUAUGUAAGCCCCGGUCAAUGUCGGCGAUAACUAUAAUCGUCCUAAGGUAGCGAAAUUCCUUGUCUGGUAAGUUCAGACGCGCACGAAUGGUAUAACGAGUUGGGAACUGUCUCGAGGAUUUGCUCGGUGAAAAUACAAGGGCGGUGAAGAUGCCGCCUUCCUGCAGCUAGACGAAAAGACCCCAGAAGCUUUACUGUAGUUUGGUAUUGGGAUUACGGGUGCACCGCGUAGCGUAGGUGGGAGAGGUUGAAGCAGGAGUUUCGGCUCCUGUGGACUCGUCAAUGCAACACCACCCCUUGUUUCUGUAAUUUCUAACCAGGGCGGAGAAACCGUCUUGAGACAGUACCUGACGGACAGUUUCGGUGGGGCGCUGUCCUCCUAAAAAGUAACGGAGGAGCCUAUUAAGGUUACCUAGCCGCGAAUGGAAACCGUGGCGAUAGUGCAUUGGCAUAAGGUAGCUUGACUGUGAGACGUACAUGUCAAACAGGCACGAAAGUGGAGCAAAGUGAACCGACGGUUCGCAUUAGAUGCGACCGAAGAUUAACGGAUAAAAGUUACUCUGGGGAUAACAGGCUGGUACUGCCUAAGAGUCCAAAUCGACGGCAGUGUUCGGCACCUCGAUGUCGGCUCAUCUCAUCCUGGGGCUGGAGAAGGUCCCAAGGGUAUGGCUGUUCGCCAUUUAAAGAGGUACGUGAGCUGGGUUCAAACCGUCGUGAGACAGGUUGGUCUUAAUCUGCUGUAGGCGUUGAUUCUUGAGGGGAUUUGUUUCUAGUACGAGAGGACCGAAAUGAACGAACCUCUGGUCUGGGGGCUGUUACACCAGUAGCACCGCCCCGUAGCUAUGUUCGGAUUGGAUAACCGCUGAAAGCAUCUAAGCGGGAAGCCGACCCCAAGAUUAGGAAUCGUUAUAGGCCCGUGGGAGAUGACCACGUUGAUAGGCACCAGGUGUACGCACA
Molecule: ribosomal RNA, 2937 nt
Filed under: wastewater metagenome
Description: bacterial LSU rRNA
Rfam family: Bacterial large subunit ribosomal RNA
Source: RNAcentral